GGGGAUGUAGCUCAAUGGUAGAGCGUCGGCCUUCCAGGCUGAUGAUGUCGGUUCGAUUCCCACCGUCCCCU
This 71-nucleotide transfer RNA is filed under the name Leucobacter sp. G161. It matches the Rfam family "tRNA". From Rfam's summary of the family: Transfer RNA (tRNA) molecules are approximately 80 nucleotides in length. Their secondary structure includes four short double-helical elements and three loops (D, anti-codon, and T loops). Further hydrogen bonds mediate the characteristic L-shaped molecular structure. tRNAs have two regions of fundamental functional importance: the anti-codon, which is responsible for specific mRNA codon recognition, and the 3' end, to which the tRNAs corresponding amino acid is attached (by aminoacyl-tRNA synthetases). tRNAs cope with the degeneracy of the genetic code in two manners: having more than one tRNA (with a specific anti-codon) for a particular amino acid; and 'wobble' base-pairing, i.e. permitting non-standard base-pairing at the 3rd anti-codon position. The record is from Rfam by way of RNAcentral. Lineage: Bacteria; Bacillati; Actinomycetota; Actinomycetes; Micrococcales; Microbacteriaceae.